UGCGUAGGUGGUUAGGUAAGUCCGAUGUGAAAUCUCCAGGCUCAACCUGGAAAUGGCAUUGGAUACUAUCUAGCUUGAGGAGUGGAGGGGGGACUGGAAUUCUCGGUGUAGCAGUGAAAUGCGUAGAUAUCGAGAGGAACACCAGUGGCGAAGGCGAGUCCCUGGACACUUCCUGACACUGAGGCACGAAAGCUAGGGGAGCAAACA
This 207-nucleotide ribosomal RNA is filed under the name uncultured bacterium. RNAcentral's name for it is "partial 16S ribosomal RNA". It matches the Rfam family "Bacterial small subunit ribosomal RNA", at positions 568 to 774 of the family's 1533-position model. The record is from RNAcentral.